GUUUCUGUGUUUCUUAUUUAAUAAGACGGUUGGUUACAUCAACAGUUCUGGGUUGACACAGUGAUGUUUGUUCCAUCUGUAUUUAUAAAUGAAGGUGUGUGUGUGUGUGUGUGUGUGUGUGUGUGUGUGUGUGUGUGUGUGUACACGUCUUCACGUACUCAUGUGAAGGGCAGAGGUCAUUGUCAAGAGUCUUUUCUAUUACUGUGCUUAUUUGAGGCAGGGUCUUUGUUUUGCCAUUCUGCAAAAUAAUCCGUUAAUAGAAUGAAAAGAAUAUCAAUUCCACACACUAUUCGUAUUAACGUAUGUGGUGAUGUUGAAUUCACUAGGAUGACAGAGUAACUCCAAUAUGAAUACUGUAAGUAUGUAGAGUUAAGUAUGUCUCUGUGAUUGGCUGUUCCAACCCACUAACCGGCGUGUUUGGAAUAGUAGCAGCACAUCUAUUACCUGUUGGGUUGGUUUGAAUGAGGAUUGUUUCCCAGAGCAUCAUGUGUUUGGACAGCUGGUUCCUAGUUGGUGGUGCUGUUUGGGGAGUUUAUGAAACUUAGGAGGCAGAGCCUUGCUGAAGGAAAUACGUCACUGGGCAGACUUUCAGAGUUUAUAGCCCACUUUCAGUUUCCUUUCUCUGCUUUCUGUGUGGUGAAAUGUGAUCAGUGUCUUGCCCUGGCUGCCUGCUGCAAUGCCUGCCUCACUGUUUAGGGACUCGGACCCCGCUGGAACUGUAAGCCAAGGAGGAGAUGAUUACCCGGAUAUGGAAGACAAGCUCUCAGGAACUCCAGCUCUUUCCAUAAGUGAGCCUUUCAUCCUUCAGUCCUUUUCAUUUUCUGCCAACUUUGGAACGGUGCAAGCGCUCAGGAAGUCUCAGUAUUUUCUGACAGGAAAUCACUGCCCCGUCUAAGGUCAUCAAAGAAAUGUAAAUUCUCACAUGGAGUCGACAGCUGGGCCUCCUCGCAGCGUGCUAGUGAUUGACGCAGGUGAUGUCUGGUCUUUUCAAAGCGGUAACAGUGGAUGUGAGGGCGAUCUGGCUGCAACAUCUGUUGCCACAUUACUUGCCAGCGUUGAUUCAGCUGAACUGGCUGGCUGGGUGGGGUCCCCCUUCUCCUUCAUUGGUCCUCGUAUAUCCCUCCUCUAGCUGUGCACGCAGUGGAAGAGAAUGACCUUGCCCAACAGAGGAAGGAUGGUCUUCAAUCAAAGGUGUCUUCCCUGAUCUCCCCGGAUGGAAGCUUCAAACACACUGUCAAAGCAAUCGGGAGGGAGGCAGACAGCCACCUCACAUGCUGCUGUUCAUCUAUGAUACUGGCUUGGGAGGACAAUUCCAAAACAGGGACAAGGAAAUGCUUCUGGAGGCUGAGAUGAUGUGCUGGUCCUCUGGUACCCAAGACACUGGUCAGCUGCACAUCUACUACACAAGGGCCAGAAGAUGAGGAGUUCCUGGUUGGAGAGUUAGCAGGCUGUCAAUACUGGAUUAUGCUUAAAUUUCUUACAGGUCCUUUCUGUGGAUCUAGUUGUCUCCUCCAGCCAACCAAGGUCGCAGAAUGCUCCUGAACUUCAGUGCUCCUGGGAUGAUGAUUGACAUGAAUAAACAGGGUGUAAGACAGACCCUGGUGGGCUGUGUAUAAGUGAAGUUUUAUGUCUUCUAAUUUCAAUAAUAUGCCAUGCAAAAGGAAAUCAGGGCUCUCAAGUCCUUCCCACAUAGAGGGAGCUUUUCGGUGAUACAGAUAUACCCCAGGACAAAGCUUUCUGGACAGAUGCUAUUGAAGACAUAAGUGUAGCUGAAGUUUUCUCCGGUCCUGCCCAGCCCCACGGACCCUGCAGCCGCUUACAUGUCUGCAUGGUAAACACUCUGCUGAUGGAGCCAUCACCCCAGACCCCACUUGUUACUUUUAUUGAAUAAAGUAGACGUAUUACAUUUAAAUGAUUAAACUAGAAACAUUUAAAACAAACCCCUUUGGUUGAGAGCUUUCAUCUUUUGGAUUUCUGUAUUCUUAGCUGCUGCAAGUGCAUUCUUGGCUGCCCCCACCUCCUGUGCAUGUGACUCCACAGGAAAGGCUUCCUCUUCCAGAGGAGCUGUUCUCAGAGAAAGAGCUAGAGAAUGUGUAAAUGACUGUUCACCACAGCUCUGCAGCCACUUAUAAAAAUAAUCACUCAGAAGCUUGUAUUAAUUAAAACUGUUUGGCCAUUAGCUCAG
Peromyscus leucopus (white-footed mouse) is the source of this 2185-nucleotide long non-coding RNA. RefSeq lists it as uncharacterized. The transcript has 3 exons. The record is from RefSeq and is a predicted model, not a curated record. NCBI's taxonomy places the organism in Eukaryota, Metazoa, Chordata, Mammalia, Rodentia, Cricetidae.